Molecule: ribosomal RNA, 496 nt
Filed under: uncultured bacterium
Lineage: Bacteria
Description: partial 16S ribosomal RNA
Rfam family: Bacterial small subunit ribosomal RNA
Source: RNAcentral
GAUGAACGCUGGCGGCGUGCCUAAUACAUGCAAGUCGAGCGAACAGACGAGGAGCUUGCUCCUCUGACGUUAGCGGCGGACGGGUGAGUAACACGUGGAUAACCUACCUAUAAGACUGGGAUAACUUCGGGAAACCGGAGCUAAUACCGGAUAAUAUAUUGAACCGCAUGGUUCAAUAGUGAAAGACGGUUUUGCUGUCACUUAUAGAUGGAUCCGCGCCGCAUUAGCUAGUUGGUAAGGUAACGGCUUACCAAGGCAACGAUGCGUAGCCGACCUGAGAGGGUGAUCGGCCAAACUGGAACUGAGACACGGUCCAGACUCCUACGGGAGGCAGAAGUAGGGAAUCUUCCGAAAUGGGCGAAAGCCUGACGGAGCAACGCCGCGUGAGUGAUGAAGGUCUUCGGAUCGUAAAACUCUGUUAUUAGGGAAGAACAAAUGUGUAAGUAACUAUGCACGUCUUGACGGUACCUAAUCAGAAAGCCACGGCUAACUACGU